GUCUUUUUAGUUAUUUAAUAUAAAGUCUGACCUGCCCACUGAAUUUAUUUUGAAGGGCCGCAGUAUUUUGACUGUGCAAAGGUAGCAUAAUCAUUAGUCUUUUAAUUGAAGGCUGGUAUGAAUGGUUGGAUGAGGUACAAGCUGUGUCAUAAAGAUUAAUUUUUGAAUUUACCUUUUUAGUCAAAAGGCUAAAAUAAAAUUAAAAGACGAGAAGACCCUAUAGAGCUUUAUAUAAUUUAUAUUUAAAUUAUUAAGAUUUUUCAAAUUUAAUUAUUUUAUUAUAUUUUGUUGGGGUGACAAUAAAAUUUAUAAAACUUUUAUUUUUAUUAACCAUUUAUUUAUGAUUAUAUGAUCCAGUUUUAUUGAUUAUAAAUUUAAGUUACCUUAGGGAUAACAGCGUAAUUUUUUUUGAGAGUUCUUAUCGACAAAAAAGAUUGCGACCUCGAUGUUGGAUUAAGAGUAAUUUUGGGUGUAGAAGUUCAAAGUUUAAGUCUGUUCGACUUUUAAAUUCUUACAU
This 517-nucleotide ribosomal RNA is filed under the name Simulium atipornae. RNAcentral's name for it is "partial 16S ribosomal RNA". It matches the Rfam family "Bacterial large subunit ribosomal RNA", at positions 1825 to 2601 of the family's 2925-position model. The record is from RNAcentral. Lineage: Eukaryota; Metazoa; Arthropoda; Insecta; Diptera; Simuliidae.